CAAUAGCGUAUAUUAAAGUUGUUGCGGUUAAAAAGCUCGUAGUUGGAUUUCUGCUGAGGACGACCGGUCCGCCCUUCGGGUGAGUAUCUGGUUUGGCCUUGGCAUCUUCUUGGUGAACGUAUCUGCACUUGACUGUGUGGUGCGGUACCCAGGACUUUUACUUUGAGGAAAUUAGAGUGUUUCAAGCAGGCAUACGCCUUGAAUACAUUAGCAUGGAAUAAUAAGAUAGGACCUCGGUUCUAUUUUGUUGGUUUCUAGAGCUGAGGUAAUGAUUAAUAGGGAUAGUUGGGGGCAUUCGUAUUUAACUGUCAGAGGUGAAAUUCUUGGAUUUGUUAAAGACGGACUACUGCGGAAGCAUUUGCCAAGGAUGUUUUCAUUGA
RNAcentral lists this ribosomal RNA (380 nucleotides) under uncultured eukaryote. Its description in RNAcentral is "partial 18S ribosomal RNA". It matches the Rfam family "Eukaryotic small subunit ribosomal RNA", at positions 592 to 976 of the family's 1831-position model. The record is from RNAcentral.